RNAcentral lists this ribosomal RNA (246 nucleotides) under uncultured Verrucomicrobium sp. Its description in RNAcentral is "partial 16S ribosomal RNA". It matches the Rfam family "Bacterial small subunit ribosomal RNA", at positions 796 to 1041 of the family's 1533-position model. Lineage: Bacteria; Pseudomonadati; Verrucomicrobiota; Verrucomicrobiia; Verrucomicrobiales; Verrucomicrobiaceae. The record is from RNAcentral.
CCAUCCGUAAACGGUGCACACUUGACGUGGCGGGAUUUCACCCCCGCCGUGUCGGAGCUAACGCAUUAAGUGUGCCGCCUGGGGAGUACGGCCGCAAGGCUAAAACUCAAAGAAAUUGACGGGGGCCCGCACAAGCGGAGGAGCAUGUGGCUUAAUUCGAUGCAACGCGAAGAACCUUACCCGGGUUUGACAUUUACCUGCACGGCCUAUGAAAGUAGGCUUCCUUCGAGGGUGGUAAACAGGUGC